RNAcentral lists this ribosomal RNA (253 nucleotides) under uncultured prokaryote. Its description in RNAcentral is "partial 16S ribosomal RNA". It matches the Rfam family "Bacterial small subunit ribosomal RNA", at positions 524 to 776 of the family's 1533-position model. The record is from RNAcentral.
UACAGAGGCCCCGAGCGUUAUCCGGAAUCAUUGGGCGUAAAGGGUGUCAAGGCGGUCAGGUUAGUCUUCCGUUAAAUCCAGGAGCUCAACUUCUGGCCUGCGGAGGAAACGGCCUGACUUGAGGUUGGAAGAGGUGCGUGGAACUCACGGUGUAGGGGUGAAAUCCGUUGAUAUCGUGGGGAACACCAAAGGCGAAGGCAGCGCACUGGUCCAAAUCUGACGCUCACACACGAAAGCCAGGGUAGCGAAUGGG